AGGGAGGGAGGGGCGAAUUGGGUUUGGAUUAAUUCUCGACCAAUUAAAAACUAUGAUUAGUAAUUAACUAAAUCUAAUGCAAGCAAAUUAGUUAAGUUACUAGAUGAAGUGAAUGAAGAGAGAGAGGACAACAGCCAAUACAAACACAAACCAGUUUAUAGUGGUUCGGAGCUAACCCUUGCUCCUACGUUCACUCCCCAAGCUUCACUUGGGAGUUCACUAUAAUCCCUUGGAUUAUAGCCGGUUGUUUUACAAGUUCACAACCUAACUUGUUGUUUUUGCGAGAUCACAACGAACUCGGUCGAUUUUCACAGGCUCACCGACUAGAACCACCCGAUUGUUUUUCCGGGAUCACAAUCGAACCCUUACACCGUUGGUUUUAACUUCGGCUCACCAACAAAACUUACACCCCUUGAUUCAAUCCCCUGAUUGAAUCAAGUAAGAAAACAGUUUGGGAAAAGAUACAAGGAAAGCUUCUUAACAAGCAAAUAUGAAUCAAUAUGAAUAGAGUAAAGUUAGAAGCCCUCAAACAGAUUUUGGAAGAGGAAGAAAAGGGCUUCUCGAACUCUGAGUCUCCUCUUUGAGUGCACUGAAGAUUUGAUGUCAGAGGAAGAGCCUUGAAUGCGAAGGGAAGACUUCUAGGAAUGUAUUGAAUACGUUUCUUCCUUCUUUUUCUUG
RNAcentral lists this long non-coding RNA (678 nucleotides) under Phoenix dactylifera (date palm). RNAcentral describes it as "long non-coding RNA (PDAC_LNC003883)". The record is from RNAcentral. Lineage: Eukaryota; Viridiplantae; Streptophyta; Magnoliopsida; Arecales; Arecaceae.